CGUAGGGUGCAAGCGUUAAUCGGAAUUACUGGGCGUAAAGCGUGCGCAGGCGGUGAUGUAAGACAGUUGUGAAAUCCCCGGGCUCAACCUGGGAACUGCAUCUGUGACUGCAUCGCUGGAGUGCGGCAGAGGGGGAUGGAAUUCCGCGUGUAGCAGUGAAAUGCGUAGAUAUGCGGAGGAACACCGAUGGCGAAGGCAAUCCCCUGGGCCUGCACUGACGCUCAUGCACGAAAGCGUGGGGAGCAAACAGGAUUAGAUACCCUGGUAGUCCACGCCCUAAACGAUGUCAACUGGUUGUUGGGUCUUCACUGACUCAGUAACGAAGCUAACGCGUGAAGUUGACCGCCUGGGGAGUACGGCCGCAAGGUUG
Molecule: ribosomal RNA, 370 nt
Filed under: uncultured organism
Description: bacterial SSU rRNA
Rfam family: Bacterial small subunit ribosomal RNA
Source: RNAcentral